AAACCAGCUCCCCGAGUGGUCGGGAUGCUUAUUGGGCUUAAAGCGUCCGUAGCCGGGCUGGUAAGUCUCUGGUCAAAUCCGGCGGCCCAACCGUCGGAUUGCUAGAGAUACUACCAGCCUUGGGGGCGGAAGAGGCCGAGGGUACCACCGGGGUAGGGGUGAAAUCCUUUAAUCCCGGUGGGACCACCAGUGGCGAAGGCGCUCGGCUGGGACGCGCCCGACGGUGAGGGACGAAACCCAGGGGAGCGAACCGGAUUAGAUACCCUAGUAGUCC
RNAcentral lists this ribosomal RNA (274 nucleotides) under uncultured bacterium. RNAcentral's name for it is "partial 16S ribosomal RNA". It matches the Rfam family "Archaeal small subunit ribosomal RNA", at positions 473 to 747 of the family's 1478-position model. The record is from RNAcentral.